This 756-nucleotide long non-coding RNA is filed under the name Oryctolagus cuniculus (rabbit). RNAcentral's name for it is "lncRNA (ENSOCUG00000035596.1)". Lineage: Eukaryota; Metazoa; Chordata; Mammalia; Lagomorpha; Leporidae. The record is from RNAcentral.
AUGAUCACUCUGCAACCUACACCAGGGACCAUUGCUCUGGUGGGCGGGGCCUGCUCACAGCACUGCAGGGGAGGGGCAAGUUGGUGUCAUAAUGUGCAUUAUGCCUGGGGGAUGUUCUGUGUGUCGGGGGAGCUGUGUGACAGCAAAGCUGCAGGAGACCUGGGUACUGCCAAGUCCUUUUUUUCCCCCCAGGAUGAGCAAGCAGAAGCCUCUUUCCAAAAAAUGACCAAAAAGCUACCUACUACUUGGGAAUUGAAUCCCCAUCGUCCCGCGCUCAUCCUGGAGAUACGCUUUCCCAACCACGGGGACAGUUCUGGCGCAGCUCACAACUCUAAGGACUCUGGAUUCCCUGCAGCCCGACCUGGUGGGCCCAGGAAAGAUGGGACCGUGGCAAGCCAACCCUCAGCCCGAGAAGUCACCUCGGCUGUACAUUUCCUCUCCCGCCUGCGUAAAGAGCCUGCAUCAGCCUCUGUGCUUACAACUGGCUUCCUCAUGGAACAGCACUGCCGGCCAUGCACUGCUUGAAAAUAGUUAUUCCGUGUAUCUUGUGCAGUUUGCUCCUUGUUAGCAGAGAGUCCACUUACUGCAUCACAACCAGAAGUGAAAGUCUUCUUUUAUUUUUUGCCUUGUUCUUGCCUCCUCUGUCUCCUUAUCCAAACAUUGAUGCUAUGCACCUAGAAUUUGUACACUUAAAGGCAGUCCAUUUUUAAUUUCAUUAAUAUAAUUCUAUUAUAAACUUUUCCAUUCUGUUUAUUU